Long non-coding RNA from Drosophila serrata, 507 nucleotides. The record is from RefSeq and is a predicted model, not a curated record. Lineage: Eukaryota; Metazoa; Arthropoda; Insecta; Diptera; Drosophilidae.
UUUUGUUUAUAAGAGCACGUGAAUAAUUAAAAAAAAAUGGCAGCAACUGUGCUUUAUACAUUGAUACGUUUUAUAAUACCAUUUAUAUUAAUUUUUGCAAGCUCUAAAACAUCUACUGAUAUUAUUUUACGUCAAUUUGGAUUUCUUUACUUUAAAGGAUUAAGCUUCGGUUCUAUAGCGCACUGGAUUCUGCCAGAUAUAAUUGUGUUUCUAGUUACACUUGUCUCUUUAAUUUGUUUUAAAAUUUCCAAUAAGAAGCAGAGAAAAAAAAAUGUAGGGGAUAAAAGUAUUAUCAAACCAAGUCAAGAACAAACUGGGACUUUAAAGUUAUCGGAUAUGAAUCGCUAUUUGAUUAUUGUAUAUAUUCGAUCAGUUUUAAGGACAUCUCCUAUUUUUACUCUUAUUGUACUAUACUUUGCUGCAACUUUAAGACCAUCACUACCAGGAAGCUUAUAUUUUUUGAUGUUUAUCAUAGCUGGCACAUAUUGGGCAUUGUAUCGUCAAGUU